Molecule: long non-coding RNA, 6140 nt
Filed under: Sus scrofa (pig)
Lineage: Eukaryota; Metazoa; Chordata; Mammalia; Artiodactyla; Suidae
Description: lncRNA (ENSSSCG00000056339.1)
Source: RNAcentral
UUUUUUGGCUGCCCACAGUAUAUGGAGUUCCCAGGCCAGGGAUCAGAUCAAAAUCACAGUUGCAACUGAUGUCACAGCAGCAGCAAUGCCAUAUCCUUAACCCAUUGUGCCAGGGAUCAAACCUGUGUCCCAGCACUACCAAGAUGCUGUCGAUCCCAUUGCCCCACAGCAGGAACCCAUGUGGCUGAAUGUUAAAUGAGUGAAGAGUAAGAACUGCAUAGAGCAAGGGAACUAGAACAGCACAAGUGCCGGUUGCUGCCUGGAAAGACAUGUGGAAUGUUACCUUUACACUUGGAUGACAUAUCAGUUGGGUAUAAUAUUGCAGUGCACGUUAACAGAAAAGCAAAACUCCAACUGGAUUGAGAAGACUCAACUCAAGGGCCAUCAUAAAGUGGGUUGUACCAGAGUACUCAGUGUUUGUUUUUGCUCCUCUUUUUAAUCUUGAUGAAAAAUUUGUUGUAGAACUAUCAGAAUUGUAAUAUGCUUUACCACUGACUCAGCUAAUUUCAUGUUUGAUUGGCAGGGUUUUUUUUUUAGGCUGUUGAUGGACAUAAAUUGUUUUCCUCUGGAAAAGGUGGGACACAAUCUCCAUAGGCUUAGGGCAGUUUGGUGGAGUGAGAGGAGGGGAAGCCAGUGUGAAGAGGGGCGAGGAAGUGUAGACAGCAAGAGGAGAAACGUUUUCAAGAAAACAGGCUGUGCUGUGAUAGGAAAGAAACAGGAGUAGUUGUAGAGUACCGUGAGAUGGGAAAGUCAUAAACACCUUGAACACGAAGGAGUCAGUGGAGGGAGCGCUUAGAGAGGAAGGAGUGAUGGAGGGAACCAGUUCCUGAAGGGAGUGGGCAGAAGAUGGGUUCCAGGGCUUGGAACCCACGUAGGGGCACCUCUAUGGCCACCAUACCCCAUAUAGCACAGUGGUUCAGCUCAGGGAUUAGAGGGAGAUGGUCUGGCUUUGAAACCUGCAUCAUCAAGACGGCUUGACUUUGGUCAAGUUACUUACUCGAAGGCAGAAAUGUCCGUUCCUUGUUUCCAAACCGGGGAUACUAGCAGCAUUGGUGGUACAGUGGUGAACAUAGCUGUCUUCCAAAAUGGGGAUACUGACAGUGCCUGUCCCAGAAAGUUAUUAUGAAGAUCAGAUGAGUUGAUACAGGUAAAGAGCUUAGGACAGUGCCUGGAACAUAUGAAGUGCUGGAUAAAAGAUAGCUAUCUGUGGUCAGUGCAGACUAGCGGUUAGCUAACUUGUAAAGCUAGAGAGAGGAGGGGAAAGACUGCUGAGGCUUGUGGAAACUCCACUUGGAAAAGAGGAAAGAUAAUAGAGCCCACACCAGGGGCUUUGUUCUUUGGAGUUAGAGCUGGGCGCACCUCCCUGUGCCAGCCAAACCUUGAUGUUUUUAUCUGGACAGAGCUCCAUCUCAAGAGCGAUUGUGAUGAGUAAUAACAUAAAUGGGUAAAACACUUAGCACAGGGCCAGGCACUGAGAGGUGCUCAAUGACUGGUAGAAACUUACAGCGAUCACCCUCCCAGUGGCAUAGACCUGGCUGGUCUGGGCCUGGAGCUUUAAGCAUGAGCAGGUGUGCUGAGGAGCAGGGUGGGGGUGCUGGGCUCUGCAGAGGGUCUGAAUGGAAUGAUCGCACCAUCCCAGGUCCAGGUUGGCCAGGAGAAGAAGAGAAGCCAAGGAAACUUCGAGGAUAAGGGGAUCUGAGGCUGGAGGCCUCCAUGAAGGUAAAAGCAAGAGGAAGGGGCCAGGAGAAAGAUCUAUGGUUUGAGAGGAGGAUUUCUAAGUUUCAUUCUGUCCUACUUCUGAGCACUCACAGUAUGCCAGGUGCCAGGUGCGGCAAUUUACAUCCCUAACCUCAUCCAACCCUGAGACCCCCCCCCCCCGAGGCGUGUUCAUUCCAGGCGCCUGUCCCUCCCCCAGAUCUAUGAGGCCUUGUGACCCCCUGAUCAGGUGCAGACCCUAAGUGGUUCUGCAGUCAUUGUCAAGGUUGGGCAGGACAAAGGAGCAGGGCCAGUCAGAUCCCCUCUGUCACGUCUGUGAAUUGGGAAGGAUGGGGAAUAUCUGGUCAUAAGAAGUGACAACAGCAACGUGGUUCAGAGGGAGGAGCCAUGGCAUUGGGUUGUAGCUGUGAGAGGUCAUGUGCAAAGGUCGUGGGGAGCAGGGUCUCUGAGGAACGAGAAGAGAGAGGCAGAGAAGAGAGGGCAGACUCAGCCUAUGAGCAGACAGCAGCCGAGAUCCACGGGCGGAGAGAUGAAGAGAGACACCGGCCCCCCAGGUAGCCUCUGUUCCUCCCAAGGUCUAGGUCUGGUUCCAGUCCUUGAAGCUUCCUCCUUCCCCAACUCCCCUUUGUUUGAUUGGGCUCCAUUAUUUUUCUGUCCUUUGCCUCUGAAGAAAUCCAGAUAAAGUAUAUUCCCAUUUGGCAGAUGAGAAAACUAAGGCUGGGGUGGGAAAUGACUUAAAAAGUCACGUAGCUAGCAGGCUAAGGGGUAGAGCUAGAAUUAGAAUCCAAGAACCUUCUUUCUCCAGAGCCCUGUCUCCUCCUUCCUGAGCCCCAAUUAGGCCAGGGCCCCUUCUCUUCAUCCCUGGUUCUUACCCUUAGACGCUGUUGCUCCUUAAAUCCCAGAGUCCUGCCAAGUGGGAGCGCAGUCAGGUGCCAGCAAGAGGCUCUCCUGGCUGAGAGGAUUGCUUUGUUCCCCAAAUCUACCCCGCCUCAGGGCCCCUUCUUGGGAUCCCUCACCCCCCCAGUCCCUUUGAGUCUUCCCACCCCUCUGGGAACUCUUGGCAUUCAUGUGGAAAACACCCACAGUGGCUGGGCAUGACAUUUUAGGGCUCUGGGGAGAGGAUAAAGGGGCUUGCAGGAUGCAGAUGGGGGGACGAAGGCCAGAUCUGAGCAGUGAUGGUGAGAAUACGUUCCCCCAGAGUGGGUCCCAGGUCUACAUAAGGCCCAAUAAUCCCCUUGAAACCUCACAACUUCCUAGUAAAGUCAGUCCUGUCAUCCCCAUUUUACAGCUGGGAAAACUGAGACUCGGAGAUACAUAUAAAGUCCUUCCCAAAGCGAAGUACCCAGUAAGAGACAAAGCUGGGCUUUCCCCCCUGACCUCUUAAGUCUAAGCCUCGGCACCUCCUGCCACUACAGCUGCCUGUCCUCCCCCAGGAGGAAGCUGCCACUCAGAGAAGAGCCCUCACCUGUGGGAUGGCUGUGGCUCUGGGCCAGUGGCCUCCCUCCCUGGGUCUCAGCUGAGUGGGGAAGGGUCCAGAAGGCAAGGGAUUUCUAAGAUCCACCCGCCUGCUGGUCCAGUGACUUACAGUCUCCACUGCUGGGCAUCGUCCAGUCCACUCCCCAUCCUCCCUAACAAUUAAUCUCCAGCCAACAGUCCCAGCUGCAGUGCUCUCACCAUCCAAUUACCGGAGUUGCUAGCACAAUAAAUCUUGGUCACACAAAUGCAGGCAAAUCUGCAGCUAUUUUCAUGGCCAUUACUGUGCAUAGGACAUUGUGACUCAGGUCAUUUGCCUUUUUAACAGGGGGCGCUGCUCCCCGCCUCCCAUCUUUCCUGUCUUCUUUCACAUCUCUUGGGUGGCUGCCCCACCCCCUCCCGUCCCCCUCUGCCCAUCGUCCCCCUAAGCACACAGUCCUCCCUCCCCUCGCCUAACUGUAGGUCAUGGGGCCAAGAUCAGAAGAGUCUGUGUGACUUUGGUUAAGUCAGUUCACCUCUCUGAGCUUCUGUUUCUUUACCUGUCAGACAGAAGUAGUAUCGAUCUUAUACGGUUUGGGGAAACUAACCCCAGCGUGGCACACACCUCACUGGUGGUACAUAGGAUGUUUGUUUUAUUGGCUACAUAUUAAAUGUGUAGAAGGAAAAAUACGACCAAUGUAUCAAACCUGUGAUCUCCUGCGUAUUAUUACCUAAAAGACAGUGAAAUUAGGUAUAGACAUAAAAUAUGCUAAAGAAAAAUAUUAAGAAUAAUACAUGGAUUUACAAAAAUCAUGGGAGAGGCAUGGGACCGAGAGAAACUGCAUGGCUACCCUUGGUAAAUAUUUGUUCUGCUCUCCACACUGCCUGCCUGUGGAGGGAGCGUGGGGACCCGUCCAGCUCUGAGAGGCAAUCGGAUCUAAUCUGGUGUAUGGGAGGGGUGCCUCAUUCUUGUGAUAAAGUGUCCCCAGUGCCUGUUCCAUGCAGGCUUCUGGUGGGUGCUGGGGACACAGAGCUCAAAUGGCAGGUCCUUGCCCCAGUGAAGGCCCCGCUGGUCUCCCUCACUUCGGAAUGAAACCCUCUCGGGACGCGCCCAGGUAGCUGUCUUGACUGUUACCUGACAUGAUGUUGAGUGGCCUUUCCCUGAGGCUCUGGUUUGAGGAAUGGCAGCACCAGGCCCCAAGCUGAGGAGCGGAGCUUGAAGGCUGCACACACUCCAUAAAGACAGACGUGAAGGAGCAUGUGGGACACAGGACAGGAUGGGCUGUGGGGGCAGAAGUCAGCAGCAGCCUUGUAAGACGUGCUCUCUUUGUGCUGAGAAGUCACUGCCAUGAUGGAGAGCGGAGUGUCCCAGAGCUCCUGAGAGGAGUGGGUGAGCCUGAGGGUGGGCAGCAAGCUUGGGGAGUUGGGAACCCACAAGCCCACCCCGGGGCAGCCCCUGAGUUGCGCAGAGAUGGGGAUGAGGCCUGCAGGGCAGGACUCCCACUGCAGGCAACUGUCCAGCACCAGGGAUGAAAGAAGCAUGAGCAGUGGACUCAGAGGAUGCCUCCCGGCCUUCCUGGCCUUCCCACGCUCCACCCAAGAACACACAGGCGAGAACAGGGGCAGGAUCCGUGGACAGGACAGAUGACCUCGGACCACCUAAGGGUGACGCCAUCCAUAGACAGGGCCAGGCCUUGGGCCUCUGACAGAAGCAAAGGAAAACUCAGCUGCCAUCUCUGAGUGAGGUCUUGGCAACAGAGAGGGCAGAGGGGGAAGCAUGCUGUGCCAGGAAAACCACGCCCACCAUACCUCAGUGGACGAGACAGGUCUGUAGGUCCACUGAUCUCAAACAGAGCAGGACAGAAGCAGAUCAGGCACACACCCAGAAUUUCCUCCUCUGGAAAGCCACUGCCCACCUCAGGGCAUCCAUUUCUCCUUGGGGACAGCAGAGUUAGUCACUUAUUGUGAUGCUGCAGGAUGGUUUUGAAAGACUGACAGAUUGCUGCCCUGUCACCAACUCCAGGCACUGCUGUUGAAGAGUCCAGGGUGUCUGUGGCCAGUGGGGAGUUGGAGGAGAUUGCCAUCUGGUGGUCACUGUUGGCAGUGCCAUGGGGCCACAGGCAAAAUCCUGGUCUGGGGGCUCCCAGGCUUAGAUCCAGGCUUGACUUUAAUUGUAUGACCUUGGGCAAGUCACCCUCUGGGCCUCGUUUUUCUCAUCUAAAAUAUAUCCAAUGAUGCCAGCCUUACAUGGCAAUAGUGGGCAUUAAACUGAACAAUUGUGCUGACAUACCUCUCUUGGGCAGGCCCCUUAGCAAAGGUUGGAUACACUCAGGUCUUGUCCUAGUCAGACUCAGAGCAAGGAUCACCUCCGAGACAGCGGAGGAGGUGAGUGCUCUCAAUUUAGAUGCAGGAAAGCAAUCCUAGGCCCAAAUCACCCUCUCUUAGAAUCCCCCAGAGAAGCCAGACCUGGGCUCCCAAGCCUUGAGCUUUCAGGUAGCCAUGCUCAGCCCAAUCUCAGACACUCAAACCCAGGGUUUCCCACGUCUGCCCUGUACUCAUUAGAAGAAGGUGUGCCCUCUGGGUGGUUGCAGCCUUACAGGUACAUGGCUUGGGGAGUACAUGGCUCUGCACUAGCUGGAUUUCAGGCCCCCUUGCCCAUUGGCCAGACACUUUUGUGUGCUAUACCAAAAGAGCAGCUCUGUCCAAAUGCAUCUCUUACCUGAGCUCCUGACUCUGAAACCCAUCUUUUCCUAGUUGGCAGGAUCAGCCUCAGCUCCCCAGCGAGUACAAGUGUGUCUGUUGCUAUGGACCCUUCUCAGGUCCCAUUGGGCCAUGAAGGUGUGAUGAAGACCUGAGCUUAGUAUGAGGCUUCUGCCCUCCAUCAGCAACCCCUGGAGCACUGGGAUACUCCCUGGCCCAGAAACCAGACUUGCAACCCUACUCCCCAGCCCUAACACAACCUCCUGAGAGUU